CAGCAGCCGCGGUAAUACAGAGGGUGCAAGCGUUAAUCGGAAUUACUGGGCGUAAAGCGCGCGUAGGUGGUUUGUUAAGUUGGAUGUGAAAUCCCCGGGCUCAACCUGGGAACUGCAUUCGAAACUGGCAGGCUAGAGUCUUGUAGAGGGGGGUAGAAUUCCAGGUGUAGCGGUGAAAUGCGUAGAGAUCUGGAGGAAUACCGGUGGCGAAGGCGGCCCCCUGGACAAAGACUGACGCUCAGGUGCGAAAGCGUGGGGAGCAAACAGGAUUAGAUACCCCAGUAGUCCCUGUCUCUUAUAC
RNAcentral lists this ribosomal RNA (301 nucleotides) under uncultured bacterium. RNAcentral describes it as "partial 16S ribosomal RNA". It matches the Rfam family "Bacterial small subunit ribosomal RNA", at positions 509 to 807 of the family's 1533-position model. The record is from RNAcentral.